Molecule: small nuclear RNA, 189 nt
Organism: Rhipicephalus microplus (southern cattle tick)
Lineage: Eukaryota; Metazoa; Arthropoda; Arachnida; Ixodida; Ixodidae
Product: U2 spliceosomal RNA
Source: RefSeq, a predicted model, not a curated record
AUUCCCUCAAUGUGUUGCCUCUUUUGAUGACCACCCUCUGUUCUUAUUAGCUUAAUGUAUGAUACGGACUCUAUUUGUAUCCAAGAUAAUAAUCUUAUUUUUGCAAUGCGGCGCAGUGCUUGAAGCUUGCUUCUACUUCGCCACGGGUUGGCCCGGUAUUGCACUAUCUCCGCGAUCGGCAUACUCGCC